RNAcentral lists this ribosomal RNA (253 nucleotides) under uncultured bacterium. RNAcentral's name for it is "partial 16S ribosomal RNA". It matches the Rfam family "Bacterial small subunit ribosomal RNA", at positions 524 to 776 of the family's 1533-position model. The record is from RNAcentral.
UACGAAGGGGGCUAGCGUUGCUCGGAAUCACUGGGCGUAAAGCGCACGUAGGCGGACUCUUAAGUCGGUGGUGAAAUCCUGGAGCUCAACUCCAGAACUGCCUUCGAUACUGAGAGUCUCGAGUCCGGGAGAGGUGAGUGGAACUGCGAGCGUAGAGGUGAAAUUCGUAGAUAUUCGCAAGAACACCAGUGGCGAAGGCGGCUCACUGGCCCGGUACUGACGCUGAGGUGCGAAAGCGUGGGGAGCAAACAGG